RNAcentral lists this ribosomal RNA (329 nucleotides) under uncultured eukaryote. RNAcentral describes it as "partial 18S ribosomal RNA". It matches the Rfam family "Eukaryotic small subunit ribosomal RNA", at positions 1470 to 1796 of the family's 1831-position model. The record is from RNAcentral.
CCCUUAGAUGUCCUGGGCUGCACGCGCGCUACACUGAUGUGUCCAGUAAGCACCUAACCUCUUCCGAAAGGAACGGGUAACCUUUGCAAAGCACAUCGUGAUGGGGAUAGAUUAUUGCAAUUAUUAGUCUUGAACGAGGAAUUCCUAGUAAGCACAAGUCAUCAGCUUGUGUUGAUUACGUCCCUGCCCUUUGUACACACCGCCCGUCGCUCCUACCGAUUGAAUGAUCCGAUGAAUAUCAUGGAUUGAGGAUGCAAGUAGGUUCACCUAUCUUCAUCUUCGAGAAGUGAAGUAAAUCUUAUCAUUUAGAGGAAGGAGAAGUCGUAACA